UUUAACAAUAGGCUGAUAAAAAGCACUAAGAAAGUCAGAACAAACUAAAAUUUCACACAAUGACUUGUUCAUACAGCUCCAGACACUGAAAGGGUUCAGUUUUAUUAUAAAAAAAUAUCACUCGUCCGUCGUCUUACAGAGACUUAGGUGCUCCUGUUCUCUGCAGAGAUUUGCACAGCAUUUCCACCAAAGCUUCUACUAAAGGUGUGUCGAGCGAUUCGCAGCCCUGAAAUCCACACUGUUACAAGGCUGCCAGGAGGCUGAGUGAAACAGGAUCCAGGGACUCAACAGGACCCCCAAUGUCAUUUGAUACAGCAACUACAGGAGAGGGUAGAAAUGAUCUCUCUGCUUCCUCCUUCCAAUUCUCUCCUUCUCUCCUUUCCAGCGACCAGCAUUCACUUUUCACCUGCCCUUUUUUUGAUCCACACCCACUGUUGCCAAAUCUUUUGGUUUUAC
Molecule: non-coding RNA, 456 nt
Organism: Pelodiscus sinensis (Chinese soft-shelled turtle)
Lineage: Eukaryota; Metazoa; Chordata; Testudines; Trionychidae
Source: RefSeq, a predicted model, not a curated record